AAAUUAGUUUUUAAUUAUAUUCUAUAAAUUUUAAUGCUAUUAAAAUAAUUGUUUAUUUCAGGUGUUUAAGAGAGGAAGAGAGAGUAAGCUGAUACAUAACUUGCAGGCUCCGGCUCCGGCUCUGAAUCCGGCUCCAAACCCUAAUGGUGACGUGGACUGUGACGGACAAUG
Molecule: non-coding RNA, 171 nt
Organism: Erythranthe guttata (spotted monkey flower)
Lineage: Eukaryota; Viridiplantae; Streptophyta; Magnoliopsida; Lamiales; Phrymaceae
Source: RefSeq, a predicted model, not a curated record